RNAcentral lists this ribosomal RNA (440 nucleotides) under uncultured bacterium. Its description in RNAcentral is "partial 16S ribosomal RNA". It matches the Rfam family "Bacterial small subunit ribosomal RNA", at positions 338 to 795 of the family's 1533-position model. The record is from RNAcentral.
CCUACGGGAGGCAGCAGUGGGGAAUAUUGCUCAAUGGGCGAAACCCUGAUGCAGCGACGUCGCGUGAGUGAAGAAGUAAUUCGUUACGUAAAGCUCUAUCAGCAGGGGAGUAAAUGACGGUACCUGAGUAAGAAGCUCCGGCUCACUACGUGCCAGCAGCCGCGGUAAUACGUAGGGGGCCAGCGUUAUCCGGCUUUACUGGGUGUAAAGGGAGCGUAGUCGGUGUGACAAGUCUGGAGUGAAAUGCUGCAGCUUAACUGCGGAACUGCAGUGGAAACUGGCGGACUAGAGUGCGGGAGGGGUAAGCGGAAUGCCUGGUGUAGCGGUGAAAUGCGUAGAUAUUAGGAAGAACACCGAUGGCGAAGGCAGCUUACUGGACCGUAACUGACGCUGAGGCUCGAAAGUGUGGGGAGCAAACAGGAUUAGAUACCCCAGUAGUC